UACAGAGGAGGCAAGCGUUGUUCGGAAUUACUGGGCGUAAAGCGUGCGCAGGCGGCGCGUUAAGACAGGUGUGAAAGCCCCGAGCUUAACUUGGGAAUUGCGCUUGUGACUGGCGUGCUGGAGUGUGGCAGAGGGAGGUGGAAUUCCACGUGUAGCAGUGAAAUGCGUAGAGAUGUGGAGGAACACCGAUGGCGAAGGCAGCCUCCUGGGCCAGCACUGACGCUCAUGCACGAAAGCGUGGGAAGCAAACAGG
RNAcentral lists this ribosomal RNA (253 nucleotides) under uncultured bacterium. RNAcentral describes it as "partial 16S ribosomal RNA". It matches the Rfam family "Bacterial small subunit ribosomal RNA", at positions 524 to 776 of the family's 1533-position model. The record is from RNAcentral.